Lutzomyia longipalpis is the source of this 1222-nucleotide long non-coding RNA. RefSeq lists it as uncharacterized. The record is from RefSeq and is a predicted model, not a curated record. The transcript has 3 exons. NCBI's taxonomy places the organism in Eukaryota, Metazoa, Arthropoda, Insecta, Diptera, Psychodidae.
AAGCGAAAAUUGUGGAAAAGCCGAUUGUUAAAAAAAAAGAGGAUAAACAUGACAAGGUAUUGUAUAAUUUAAGUGAAUAACAAUUCUUUAUAUUACGAAUUGAUUUACAACAAAUAAAAUUAUCAACUUUGAAUUCAACCAACUAAUUAUAUGAUUUUACUAUCUUGCAGUAAAACAGGAAGAGGAAUGGAUCAUAUUCUCAUCGAAGCCUUCCUGUCUGUACCUGAAUGGUCUGCCCAUCCCCAAUAAUAAUUGAAACAGGAUAAAGGAAAUCCAAUGGGAAAAAUUAAAAUGUAAAGGUAAGUACCUACACAUUUGCCGUGAAAUAUAUUGCAUCCAAAAACUUAUCAAUUUAUAAAAUCCAAAAUAUUAAUUCUUGUUCUAAUUUAACAGAUUUUACCGAAUGAGCGCAUAUCAAGCGCUGUCAACCCGUAAUCAAAUUUUGGAAACAUAGAUUGAACGAAGAGGAUAAACACGAAAAGUUAAUCAGACUACAAUAAACAACCGGAAAAUGGGUCAUAUUCUCAUCGAAGCCGUCUUGUCUGUACCUGGAUAGAGUCUAUGAUCGAAAACAUUGAUUGAGAUAGGACAGAGGAAAUCAAAUCACGAGAAAUAAAGUUUAAAGAUUCCGCCAACUGACAUAAAGAACAGAACUUUCGCGAUUCCUUGAAAGGGUACUUUGGAAGAAAAUGACGCUAAGACACUCACAUGAAUCUGCCGAACUUCACUGAACAAAAAGGCUUUUCAAAACGGGAUACUUGCCUAGUUAAUUAUUAUAACUAUUACAUACAAUGUAAUAUAAAUUAAAUUGAAAUAAAAAAUUAUUUUUUUAAAUCAAAAUUCAAUAUUUAAUUUUUUUUAGUCAAACAAACUGGAUUUCCAGUUAGCAUGGCUAAACUUUAGUAAUCCAAGAAUUUUUAACAACUAUAGUCAUGUAAAUGAAAAUUUCUGUUCUCAUUCCUAAAAUUUAGUAAUCGAAGAAUUUAGAAUAAAUAGUUUUAUCAACAAAAACCUCUGUUGACAUUCCCAAACUUUAGUAAUAUACAGACGUAAAACAUUUUAUUAGCCAUAACUAAAUAUUCUGUUGAGAGAACUAAAAUUUUUCGUAAUGAGCAACUACUAAAAUUUUAGUAAAAAUUUCUUUACUAAAAUUCUCUACUAAAGUCCAGUCAGUGCCAGUUUUAGUAAUGAUAACUAAAAUCUGAAUUACAGUGUUCGUUUG